RNAcentral lists this ribosomal RNA (468 nucleotides) under uncultured bacterium. RNAcentral's name for it is "partial 16S ribosomal RNA". It matches the Rfam family "Bacterial small subunit ribosomal RNA", at positions 28 to 507 of the family's 1533-position model. The record is from RNAcentral.
GACGAACGCUGGCGGCGUGCUUAACACAUGCAAGUCGAACGGAAAGGCCCUGCUUUUGUGGGGUGCUCGAGUGGCGAACGGGUGAGUAACACGUGAGUAACCUGCCCUUGACUUUGGGAUAACUUCAGGAAACUGGGGCUAAUACCGGAUAGGAGCUCCUGCUGCAUGGUGGGGGUUGGAAAGUUUCGGCGGUUGGGGAUGGACUCGCGGCUUAUCAGCUUGUUGGUGGGGUAGUGGCUUACCAAGGCUUUGACGGGUAGCCGGCCUGAGAGGGUGACCGGCCACAUUGGGACUGAGAUACGGCCCAGACUCCUACGGGAGGCAGCAGUGGGGAAUAGUUCACAAUGGGCGGAAGCCUGAUGCAGCAACGCCGCGUGCGAGAUGACGGCCUUCGGGUUGUAAACCGCUUGCGCCUGUGACGAAGCGUGAGUGACGGUAAUGGGUAAAGAAGCACCGGCUAACUACGUG